Molecule: small RNA, 700 nt
Filed under: Cryptococcus neoformans H99
Lineage: Eukaryota; Fungi; Basidiomycota; Tremellomycetes; Tremellales; Cryptococcaceae
Description: Cryptococcus neoformans var. grubii H99 hypothetical RNA
Source: RNAcentral
CGCUCUACUAUUAGCGUGAGGUACUCACCGGUAACUGGCUCAGCCGCCUGGCUUGUAUGGAUAAGGGGCGGACGAGGCCGGGUGUUGGCACUGGGACGGUGUCGUGUGCACGUACGAAGAGCAGACAUGACGAGACGAGUGAACUGUGGCAAGAGGUUCAGGACGUGACUGGUGGUUUGUAAAAAGGGGCUAGACUCACUCCAAGACCGGCAAUGUGCACCUAAUAAGGAGUAGUCUAUUCAGAAAUGAGACAAGACUGCAAAGGGAGAAAGCCUAGUCCAUCACUUACCACAUCACAAAACGUGUUAAUGUUCCCGAAAGGAGGGGCACAAAUCUCGCCAUCAAUUAAUACCCUGGCACUAAUAAGCCCUACCAUGACUACCGGAAAGGAUGUUGAAUCUGGCUACUGCCAGCUGCUGGAGCUUCGGACACUGGAUGAGCUUUGACCUGCUUGGGGUGCGGCCCUUUCAUUUCGCCUUGUCUCGGCGAGUUUUGCUCCAGCAUAAUAGUGGUAAACGUGUUGACACAACUGAGUCGUUCUUGAUGUUGAUGACCGAUCAUGAUUUCCAUGUUCGAUGGGACCUGCCGCUAGCUAGAUAGCUUCACAUGAUAGUCGAAAAAGUCAAGAGUCAAUCAGCAUCAUAAUUUAGACAUUAGCCAUCAGCGAGGUUACGCCCUUUUGCCUGUGAUGAUAAUUCCC